CCCUUAGAUGUCCGGGGCUGCACGCGCGCUACACUGAAGGAAUCAGCGUGCUAAAACCAUUGUCGAAAGGCAUUGGUAAACCCAUUAAAAUCCUACGUGAUUGGGAUCGGGAAUUGCAAUUAUUUCCCUUGAACGAGGAAUUCCCAGUAAGUGUGGGUCAUAAGCUCGCGUUGAUUACGUCCCUGCCCUUUGUACACACCGCCCGUCGCUGCCCGGGACUGAGCCGUUUCGAGAAAAGCGGAGACUGCUGCUGUCGGGGCUUUCGGGCCUUGGCUUCGGUGGAAACCGCUUUAAUCGCAGUGGCUUGAACCGGGCAAAAGUCGUAACA
RNAcentral lists this ribosomal RNA (328 nucleotides) under uncultured eukaryote. Its description in RNAcentral is "partial 18S ribosomal RNA". It matches the Rfam family "Eukaryotic small subunit ribosomal RNA", at positions 1470 to 1796 of the family's 1831-position model. The record is from RNAcentral.